RNAcentral lists this ribosomal RNA (628 nucleotides) under uncultured bacterium. Its description in RNAcentral is "bacterial SSU rRNA". It matches the Rfam family "Bacterial small subunit ribosomal RNA", at positions 61 to 707 of the family's 1533-position model. The record is from RNAcentral.
GUCGAACGAUUAAGGCCCUUCGGGGCGUAUAAAGUGGCGAACGGGCGAGUAAUGCAUUCCUAACGUACCCCAAGGCGGGGGAUAGCCCGGUGAAAACCGGGGUAAUACCCCAUAACUCCGUCUGGCCGCAUGGCCGGAUGGGCAAAGGCUUGCCACCAUGGGAUCGGGGAAUGUCCUAUCAGGUAGUUGGUGAGGUAACGGCUCACCAAGCCAUAGACGGGUAGCGGGUGUGAGAGCAUGACCCGCCGCAUCGGGACUGAGACACUGCCCGGACUCCUACGGGAGGCUGCAGUAACGAAUCUUCCGCAAUGCGCGAAAGCGUGACGGAGCAAUGCCGCGUGUGGGAUGAAGGCCUUCGGGUUGUAAACCACUGUCAGGGUUUAGCAAAAAAAUGAGCAGACCCAGAGGAAGGACCGGCUAACUCUGUGCCAGCAGCCGCGGUAAUACAGAGGGUCCAAGCGUUGCGCGGAAUCACUGGGCUUAAAGCGUGCGUAGGCGGGAGCGUAAGUGUCUUGUGAAAUCCCACGGCUCAACCGUGGAACUGCUGGGCAUACUGCGCUUCUUGAGGCCGACAGGGGAUGCCGGAACUGUAGGUGUAGCGGUGAAAUGCGUAGAUAUCUACAGGAAC